RNAcentral lists this long non-coding RNA (768 nucleotides) under Mytilus galloprovincialis (Mediterranean mussel). Lineage: Eukaryota; Metazoa; Mollusca; Bivalvia; Mytilida; Mytilidae. The record is from RNAcentral.
AUUGUGAAAUAGAGAUGUACAUUUUUAUAAAUAUGAAUCUGUAUUAAAUUAGUGAGAUACUGGAUCUAAUCAAUACUUAUUUUGUUUUAUGUGGAAGAGAUGGAAACAUAAACGCACCCUUAACAAAACCAGCUAACCUGUAAAAGUAUAUUUACUAGAUUAUGAUGGUCCUUAGCUUUAUUUAUAGAGUUGUUUACGAGAAUGGAUCAAUCGAGUCUCGUCAUAUACUUAAACACUAGUUAAUUGGAUGAUGAUACUACUGGGUUAAUGUACUAGUAUUUGAAUUUAACAAGUAUCGACCAGUAGUUAACUUCAUAUCUUGACACUUUUUCUACUUUAAUACUAGUAUGUAAUCUAUUUCUAAACUGCUGUGGGCCUUGAAAAUUCAAGUCGACCAUAAUUUGUCCGUCCACAAUUGCUUACUCCAGAAUUAGAAAUAUGAUGGGAUAACUGCACAGUACAACCCUAGCAACCGUCAAGUAGUAUUGACUGCUGUAUAUUUUUCCUGAAAAUCUGGGAUAGGGUCAUUCAUUUCCAUUUUUUGUUAAUUGCUUUUUUUUGCCCAUUAUUCUGUUUUACAUAAUUAUUAUACGCUUCAUUAUUCUUUAUUGUUUAGAAUCAUUUUGCCUACUAUCACCUUUUUGUUAACCCAGCCUCACUUAUGUAUAUGGUUACAAUGUUGAUUCAUGAACAUCCACCAAAGUAUGUUACUUUUGUACUUAAUUUUAACUUAUCGAUGUUAUUUUUUACUCUUAGAAGAUGCAGCGC